Molecule: ribosomal RNA, 264 nt
Filed under: uncultured Glomus
Lineage: Eukaryota; Fungi; Glomeromycota; Glomeromycetes; Glomerales; Glomeraceae
Description: partial 18S ribosomal RNA
Rfam family: Eukaryotic small subunit ribosomal RNA
Source: RNAcentral
UUAAAAAGCUCGUAGUUGAAUUUCGGGAUCAGAUUGUCGGUCGUGCCUCGGUACGCACUGGCAUUAUUGGUUCCUACCUUCUGAAGAACCGCGAUGUCAUUAAUUUGGUGUCGUGGGGAAUCAGGACUGUUACUUUGAAAAAAUUAGAGUGUUUAAAGCAGGCGCACGCUUGAAUACAUUAGCAUGGAAUAAUGAAAUAGGACGUUUGAUUCUAUUUUGUUGGUUUCUAGGAUCGACGUAAUGAUUAAUAGGGAUAGUUGGGGG